GGUGUUUUAUUCUCCUUUCCAACAAACCAACUCGGGGAAGUGUUAGACUUCAACAUAUGUAUUACACAACAUCAAGUACAUGUCAAAAUGGUACUUGUCGGUCAUCGGAUUUGUCAUCAAUAUCGACACGUUGAUGCUGAUGAUUCCUGAACUGCUCAAAGUUCAGCGGUAUGUGCUCACCUACAGGUUCAGCCAAGAUCACUUGGAGCUCCUAUUUAAUUCAAUCAGAGCGUCAGGCAGCUGGAAUAACAAUCCAUCGGCAAGCCAGUUCCAAGCCAUCUUCCGCCGCUGAUGGUUCAGUGUGGUGUCUCACCUUGUUAGACAGACAAUGUGGCAGCACAGGAUAACACUGUGUCCCUGUGCGCUGUGGAGAUUUCCUGAAACUGCUGAAGAGCCCCCACUCCAUUCGCCAACAUUUCGCCCCUUGUGUAAUCUCCCCACUCGGUUUGGUGGUCUGGUGGAAAAUGCUCUGGUCUACAUAGCAGGGUUUGUAGAUGUGUGCCAUGCGAUCUUGGUCAGAGAUGCUGUACCAUCUUCAUUUGACAAGAGCUACCACCUUCUAACCCAGAAAAACAACAGUGGCCUAGUGAUUCCAUCACAAGACACAGUGAAGGACUGAUUUUAUCUUGUUUUUUUUAAUUCUUUAAAUCUUUGUAUAUUAAGGUUUCUUUGUUCUUAUUUUCUCUGUUUUUUAGUGUCUUGGAGCACUGUGUAAAGCGCUAUAUAAAUAUAAUGUUAUUUUUUUUAUUAUUAUUUUAAUAAGGUGCUGAGAGCUGCAGAGAGGGUGAUCCGCCAAGCUUCACCAAUACAAGCUCCUAAGGUGUUGACAGUCACACACAUCGUCGGGGAGGAGAUUGGAGCGGAGGAUGUUUUUCUGCUUCGGGAACACAUUGAGGAGACACAGUUUGGCAUUGACAACCGUCAUUCUGACUUGUUGUCAUUGGUUGUGUCUGUGUUCCUCAAAAUAAGGCUGCACCACAUUGCCAAACUAACCUCUCUUGAACUGCUGAAAGGGCGCACGAGGAAGAAGCUCUGCAAAACUGUCCUCUUUCAGGGGUUUUAGAGCGUGUGCGUGUGUGUGGUUCCACGACAGUUCAAGACUUUAAUCCUAGAUUCCGGCAUCCCCAAACGAAUUCUAAGCUUCAUAUCUGUACUUUAACCUUACUCAUCACACAUAGUAUCUUUAUGUCAUAUCUGUCAUCAUUCUGACAAGAUUAACACUGACACUGAAUACAAUGGCUUAAAACUGCCUGGAAACAAUGGUCUGUCACAUUAUAUGUGAAU
Long non-coding RNA from Esox lucius (northern pike), 1284 nucleotides. RefSeq lists it as uncharacterized. Lineage: Eukaryota; Metazoa; Chordata; Actinopteri; Esociformes; Esocidae. The transcript has 3 exons. The record is from RefSeq and is a predicted model, not a curated record.